ACCAGUCCAAUUCGAACCGGUCCAAUAGAAUUAAUUUAUAUAUUUUUUAAAUAUUAUAUAUAUUUAUAUUUGAAAUUAUAUAUAUUUUCAUACCUGUCAAAUUUUGAUUGGGUGUGUAUGUUGCUACCAUAGGUAGCGCACACACAGGAUUACACCAAAUUCAGAUUGGGUUUUUUCAUUCUUCGUUCUUUCCUCUCCUCCCUCCCAUUUCGUUUCAUACUCAGCCAGCCGCCAGCCACCAACCACCGAUUCCAAACCUCUCUCUCAACCAGCACGUCACAGUCACACCCCUCUCUGCCGCCGCUCUUCUCUUAGCCUCUCUCAGUCGUUGCAGGUCAGAUUCUCUCUCUAUCUCUCUCCUUUUUUUUUUCUUUCCCCAAUUCAAUUUUCUGACUCUCUCUGUCUUCCAGCAAAUCGGAGAUCCCAUUCACUCGCCGCGUCCACCUCUUCAUCUCGUAUGGCUCUCUGUCUCUGUCUCUGUCUCUCAGACAGACAAAGCUUCAAUGCUGGAUGAGAUCAUCGAUUAUGUCAAAUUCCUCCAGCUCCAAGUCAAGGUUCUGAGCAUGAGCAGGUUGGGCGGUGCAGCUACUGUUGCUCCUCUUGUUGCUGAUGUGUCCUCUGAGGUAAAUUAAAAUGAAGAAACCCCUUUUAUCAACAGCAUUCAAUAUUUCAUCCUCAAGUUUUAUGAGUUUAUCUUUAAGACAGAUAUGACUUAUUACUGAUUCAAUAAUAGCCACAAGUAAUUUGCAUCUAUAAACUACUUUGCAAUACUAGAAUCAGACAGUAUAUAAAGGUUUUGCUAGUCAGUUAUGUUCUCAUUAAGCUCCUUCAGCAAAUUACUACUAGAGGUUAAAGUAGUUCUUCUCAAUAACAUGCUGUUACUUCCAAUCUUACUUGAUCUUUCUGUAUUGAUCAUUUUGUUCCAACCAUAGCUCCAACUACUUUUCAAUGUUAGGAGGAAUUUAAUUUGGGUUGUAAUGUAUAUUUGGUUGAAUUUGGGUUGUAUUUGGCUAGUAAUUUAUUUUGGAACUUAUUUUGUUGAAGUUUGAUUUAAUUUCGGUUGUAAUUUAUAU
Long non-coding RNA from Prunus persica (peach), 1073 nucleotides. RefSeq lists it as uncharacterized. The record is from RefSeq and is a predicted model, not a curated record. The transcript has 3 exons. Lineage: Eukaryota; Viridiplantae; Streptophyta; Magnoliopsida; Rosales; Rosaceae.